UACGAAGGGUGCGAGCGUUAUUCGGAAUCACUGGGCGUAAAGGGUGCGUAGAUGGUGUGUUAAGUUUGUUGUUAAAGGCUCCGGCCUAACUGGAGUAUUGCGAUGAAAACUGGCACGCUAGAGGGUGAGAGAGAGAAGUGGAAUUCCCGGAGUAGCGGUAAAAUGCGUGGAUCUCGGGAGGAACACCAAUGGCGAAGGCAGCUUCUUGGCUCAUUCCUGACAUUGAGGCACGAAAGCGUGGGGAGCAAACAGG
Molecule: ribosomal RNA, 253 nt
Filed under: uncultured bacterium
Lineage: Bacteria
Description: partial 16S ribosomal RNA
Rfam family: Bacterial small subunit ribosomal RNA
Source: RNAcentral